This 1230-nucleotide long non-coding RNA is filed under the name Hordeum vulgare. RNAcentral's name for it is "long non-coding RNA (HVUL_LNC001257)". The record is from RNAcentral. Lineage: Eukaryota; Viridiplantae; Streptophyta; Magnoliopsida; Poales; Poaceae.
AGAGAAUCAUCAAAGUUCAGCAAUAAGCAUCAAUCAAAACUCAUCUAUUUGCAUUCAAAAAUCAUCUCUCUUAGCCUAGGAUUACUGAACUUUUGCACUAGAUUUACAUUGGUUUCCCAAGCUCAACCAGUAUCCAUUCAUUUACACUUCAUUCAAUCAGAAAGAAAGAAACUAGACACAUUAUAAAUUUAUUCACACAUGAUAAAUUUAGGACAAAAUCACACACACACUGCCUCCAGCAGCAUGAUAAUCCAUGAAUGGAGACAAUUAGACAAACAUGAUUAUCAUAUUCACACAUGAUAAUCCAUUAAUGGAGACAACUAGACAAACCCACACCACCACCACCACCAACAGAUGGAAUUGUACAACGCCAACAGAGACAGAGAUUCUACAACCCGAAGGUCGACGAUGAGGUCGUACAGAUCAGAGAGGUAGUAGUUGUUGCCGCCGGCCAGGUGGGCCAGCACGGCUUACGCAAAUACACUUCUCAGUUUUACAAAUUGAAAAUUAUGACAGUAGUGUAAUCCGAAACAGAGGACUGCACAAAAUGAUGAAUCAGUGGAAGGUCUGAUUAACUAAAUUUCACAGCUAGUGAACAUCGAAACAACCCACUGGAACAACUCAAGUUUUGGAAAUUACAUGGAAGUCCAAAGUCUCAGUUUAGAAGCAGAUCACCUUGAGAACUUUAUAGUAAUAGCUAGGAUCUUCACGGUAUGCUUACAAGCUGAUGUCAGUUUCACAAGAAGAUCUUAAAUUUUCAUUUUUGACAGUCAAGCAUCUUCACCUUUGCUCUGUCGUCGCGCGAGGCAGUAGCUCUCCUACCAACGCAAGAUGGGCGGCGAAGGUGGGGAUGGUUGCUGCUGCUUUCGGGGGAGAGCUUCUGCCGGCUCUAGUGGAUAGUGGUGGACGAGGUUGGUAGCAAGGUGGACAGUGGUGGCUGCUGGGCGGCGAGGCAGCGCCGGAUUCAUGGUCGAUGGCGGUCAGCCGACGAGGAGGUAGUUCACGAAGGACAGUCCAGCUUCAGGUCGCCACCCUCGAACGUCGCGGUGGUCGCCGUCGGAUGGGCAGAGCCAGAUAAAAGAAGUAACUUUUCUCCUCGUCGUGGUUCACCAAGCGGAACGAGGAUAGGAACAAAGAGGGAAGCAGCGGAGACGUGGGCGGGGCAGGUCCUUCAAGGAGCCGAGCAGGGGAGCGCGGGGAUCCGAGGCGGGGAGCUUCGGUGCAUGGGAG